CACCGAAUAGCUAGCCCACCCCUAUAAAAUCAACAACUACAAUUUAAUACCCCCAAAUUCACAGACACUCCUACCAAACAAACCAUUUUUCCCCCUUAGUAUGGGCGACAGAAAAGGGACACUACAAGGCGCAAUAAAGAAUUAGUACCGCAAGGGAACGCUGAAAGAGAAAUGAAAUAACCCAAUAAAGACUAAAAAAGCAGAGAUACACCCUCGUACCUUUUGCAUCAUGAUUUAGCUAGUGCAUUCCAAGCAAAAAGCAGUUUAGUUUGAUUACCCGAAACUAGGUGAGCUACUCCAAGACAGCCUAUUAAUAGGGCAAACCCGUCUCUGUGGCAAAAGAGUGGGAAGAGCUUUGAGUAGAGGUGACAGACCUACCGAACCUAGUUAUAGCUGGUUGCCCGAGAACUGGACAGAAGUUCAGCCUCCCGGCUUCUUUAUUCCAUUAGAUACAUUAAUCCUGCCUGAUCCUUCAAGAAACCGAGAGAGUUAUUCAAAGGAGGUACAGCCCCUUUGAACCAAGACACAACUUUUCCAGGAGGGUAAAGAUCAUA
Molecule: ribosomal RNA, 554 nt
Filed under: Trachinus draco (greater weever)
Lineage: Eukaryota; Metazoa; Chordata; Actinopteri; Perciformes; Trachinidae
Description: partial 16S large subunit ribosomal RNA
Rfam family: Bacterial large subunit ribosomal RNA
Source: RNAcentral